CCUACGGGGGGCAGCAGUGGGGAAUAUUGCACAAUGGGGGAAACCCUGAUGCAGCGACGCCGCGUGAGUUAAGAAGUCUCUCUGUAUGUAAAGCUCUAUCAGCAGGGAAGAAAAUCACGGUACCUGCCUACGAAUCCCCCGCUCACUACGUGCCAGCCGCCGCGGUAAUACGUAGGGGGCAAGCGUUAUCCGGAUUUACUGGGUGUAAAGGGUGCGUAGACGGCGCUGCAAGUCCGGAGUGAAAGCCCAUGGCGUAACCAUGGUACUGCUCUGGAAACUGUGGAGCUUGAGUGCGGGAGGGGCAGGCGGAAUUCCUAGUGUAGCGGUGAAAUGCGUAGAUAUUAGGAGGAACACCGGAGGCGAAGGCGGCCUGCUGGACCGUAACUGACGUUGAGGCUCGAAAGCGUGGGGAGCAAACAGGAUUAGAUACCCCAGUAGUC
This 440-nucleotide ribosomal RNA is filed under the name uncultured bacterium. Its description in RNAcentral is "partial 16S ribosomal RNA". It matches the Rfam family "Bacterial small subunit ribosomal RNA", at positions 338 to 795 of the family's 1533-position model. The record is from RNAcentral.